GGGCUCACUUUGCCAGCACAUACAUUAAAAUUGGAAAACAAAACAUAGAGAAGAUUAGCAUGGUCAAUCUGCAAAGAUGACAUGCAAGUUUUGAAGUGUUUCAUACAUUC
Molecule: small nuclear RNA, 110 nt
Filed under: Phascolarctos cinereus (koala)
Lineage: Eukaryota; Metazoa; Chordata; Mammalia; Diprotodontia; Phascolarctidae
Source: RNAcentral